UGUAAAUGCCAACAAGAUCUGGAAACACAUGGGUUGCUUCCUAUAGCAGAACUGGUGGACCUGGCAUCUUGGGGAAGAGCAGCUGCUAGGAUUGUCAGCUUCCAGGAUUAAAAAACAGCAAACGACAACAACAAAUCCAAAACGAUGACAACUGUAACUAUGCUUAAUUAUUCCAUCCUCUUUUAAACAAUUGAUGUAAUAGAAAACCUAGAUUUGAGUUUCUGUUCCUCCAGUCCCUGACCGUGUGACUUUGGCUAAGUGGCCUCCUCUCUCCCAGCCUCUGCUUCUCCUGCAGUCAAGCAGGGAGGUUAAUGGAUGUCUUAUAAGGCCAGCUGUGGACCUGCCUUAGCGAAUUUGGCCUCAUAGUACAAAUUGGUCUCUGCAGCGAAGACUGCUAAGAGAUUGUGAGCAGAGAUCUUGAACUUUUAUUUACCACUGUGUGCCCAAAGCCUAGCACUAUGGAAAGUAUAUAAAAAAAGAAAAAAAAUAUUUCAGGGGAUAUACAGAUGUUACAUACUCAGAACUUCAAAAACAUAACCUCACCCAGGCUUGAUGUGGCCUCGGAAUCUUCUAACUGGAUUUGGGUCAAAAGACUUUUACUGAACCAGGUUUGUUUUGCCUGACACACAGCAAGCCAAAGUGCUAGGAUGCCGAGGAUGCAGCAAAGAGAGCAUUUAGCCCAAGCAAGGAGAUGGGAGAACAAACUCAAAUCCCCUUCCCUGAAGAGUUGGAAUUCUGAAAAACAUGGAACAGAGUUACAAAGCCUCCAGCUAUGGCUUCACCAAGUAGAAAUUUCAUUCUUCCAG
Long non-coding RNA from Phacochoerus africanus (Common warthog), 806 nucleotides. RefSeq lists it as uncharacterized. The record is from RefSeq and is a predicted model, not a curated record. Lineage: Eukaryota; Metazoa; Chordata; Mammalia; Artiodactyla; Suidae. The transcript has 5 exons.